GAUGAACGCUGGCGGCGUGCCUAAUACAUGCAAGUCGAGCGAACAGAUAAGGAGCUUGCUCCUUUGACGUUAGCGGCGGACGGGUGAGUAACACGUGGAUAACCUACCUAUAAGACUGGGAUAACUUCGGGAAACCGGAGCUAAUACCGGAUAACAUAUUGUACCGCAUGGUUCAAUAGUGAAAGGCGGCUUUGCUGUCACUUAUAGAUGGAUCCGCGCCGUAUUAGCUAGUUGGUAAGGUAACGGCUUACCAAGGCAACGAUACGUAGCCGACCUGAGAGGGUGAUCGGCCACACUGGAACUGAGACACGGUCCAGACUCCUACGGGAGGCAGCAGUAGGGAAUCUUCCGCAAUGGGCGAAAGCCUGACGGAGCAACGCCGCGUGAGUGAUGAAGGUCUUCGGAUCGUAAAACUCUGUUAUCAGGGAAGAACAAAUGUGUAAGUAACUGUGCACAUCUUGACGGUACCUGAUCAGAAAGCCACGGCUAACUACGUG
Molecule: ribosomal RNA, 497 nt
Filed under: uncultured bacterium
Lineage: Bacteria
Description: partial 16S ribosomal RNA
Rfam family: Bacterial small subunit ribosomal RNA
Source: RNAcentral